UCCGUAGGCGGGAUAAUAAGUCAGUGGUGAAAGUUUGUGGCUCAACCAUAAAAUUGCCAUUGAUACUGUUAUUCUUGAGUUAUUGUGAAGUGGUUAGAAUGUGUAGUGUAGCGGUGAAAUGCAUAGAUAUUACACAGAAUACCAAUUGCGAAGGCAGAUCACUAACAAUUAACUGACGCUGAUGGACGAAAGCGUAGGUAGCGAACAGGAUUAGAUACCCUGGUAGUCC
RNAcentral lists this ribosomal RNA (229 nucleotides) under uncultured bacterium. RNAcentral's name for it is "partial 16S ribosomal RNA". It matches the Rfam family "Bacterial small subunit ribosomal RNA", at positions 568 to 796 of the family's 1533-position model. The record is from RNAcentral.